UGGAUCGAUGAUGACCAACGGUGACAUAUGAGCUGUGGCUCUUGACUACAGGUCUAAGAGUCUGAGUUCCAC
Chionomys nivalis (European snow vole) is the source of this 72-nucleotide small nucleolar RNA. RefSeq annotates it as small nucleolar RNA SNORD113/SNORD114 family. The record is from RefSeq and is a predicted model, not a curated record. The transcript has a single exon. NCBI's taxonomy places the organism in Eukaryota, Metazoa, Chordata, Mammalia, Rodentia, Cricetidae.